CUGUAAGUACUUUUUCCAUUCAUCAUUUUCUUAAUCUUCUUAAUUAAACAUGAUCAUAUAUAGAUGAUAGUUAGCGUACUUAUUUUAUAAUUGAUGUAUCUAGUUUGUAUAUAUUAAAGACAGACACAUCAUACAUUAGAUAUUCAAUAAAUCUAAAAAAUAUAUUUGCGGCCAUUUUAAGUGGCAGAGUGGCCUUAUUAGUAUUUAUUGAAAUUCAGCUCUUGUUGCUUUUGAUUCGUUAUGUCUAAUACAAAGACCAUUUUAAGCGGCAUAGUGGCCUUGUCAGGAUUUAUUGAAAUUCAGUUUUUGUCGCUUUGAUUCGUUAUGUCUGUCUGAUACAAAAACUAAUGAAUUGUUUUGAUGCGUGGAUAUAUAUAGUCGAGUGAAGAGGAAGAUGAAAACGGUGAGAAGAGGAAAAAGAAGAAGAAGGAAAAGAAGGAGAAGAAAGAGGACACAUCAGUGCCAGUUGAGAAAGUUGAGGUUGUUGAUGGAACAACAGUAGGUACUGAGGAGAAGAAAGGUUUCCUUGAAAAAAUUAAGGAUAAGCUUCCAGGACACAAGAAAACAGAGGAUGUAACAACUCCUCCACCACCUGUGGUUGCUCCUGUUCCAACAGAGACAACAACAACUAGUCAUGAUCAAGGUGAGAAGAAGGGUAUUUUGGAGAAGAUCAAAGAGAAGAUUCCUGGUUAUCAUGCUAAGGCUAC
Molecule: long non-coding RNA, 707 nt
Filed under: Trifolium pratense (red clover)
Lineage: Eukaryota; Viridiplantae; Streptophyta; Magnoliopsida; Fabales; Fabaceae
Description: long non-coding RNA (TPRA_LNC003329)
Source: RNAcentral